This 337-nucleotide unclassified non-coding RNA is filed under the name soil metagenome. RNAcentral describes it as "partial contains 5.8S ribosomal RNA, internal transcribed spacer 2, and large subunit ribosomal RNA". The stretch from base 1 to 120 matches the Rfam family "5.8S ribosomal RNA", at positions 35 to 154 of the family's 154-position model. The record is from RNAcentral.
GAUGAAGAACGUAGCGAAAUGCGAUAAGUAGUGUGAAUUGCAGAAUUCAGUGAAUCAUCGAAUCUUUGAACGCACAUUGCGCCCCUUGGUAUUCCAUGGGGCAUGCCUGUUCGAGCGUCAUCUACACCCUCAAGCUCUGCUUGGUGUUGGGCGUCUGUCCCGCCCCCGCGCGUGGACUCGCCCCAAAUCCAUUGGCAGCGUUCCUUGCCCCCUCUCGCGCAGCACAUUGCGCUUCUCGAGGGCGGCUCCGGGACGCGAUCCAGCAAGAUGACCACCGUCUUUGACCUCGGAUCAGGUAGGGAUACCCGCUGAACUUAAGCAUAUCAAUAACGGAGGA